CCCAUGGUAAGCAGGGUGUGCUGGGAGGGUUUGACAGUCACCCUGGAAAGGGCAGCUUAGGGGAACCUUGGCUACAUGCCUGCAUCAGGGAGCAGGUUUGAGUUCCCUGAGUGGUCCAGACACAUGGACCCAGCACAGACUCCUCACUGCCCAGCGGACUGGGGACGUUCCUCGAGCCUCAGGAUGUGUUCAGGGGGGUGUCUCCUGGAGCAGCAUGGGAAGCAGAGGCUGAGGGAUUAGUGUGGCUGGUGAGGGCUGGGUGAUGAGUGUCAGGCAGCGACAGGAAGAGAAGAAAAAAGCCAUGUGAUGGGCAUAUGGGAACAUGGGGACAGUGCUCACCUCACACCCACCCUUUGCUGAGGGGCUGUGUGGGACAGGGAAAGGCAUAGAGGAGCCAGCCCUGGGUCCUGCCAAGGGAUCCAGUGGAUAAGGGCAGCCUGCAGGGACACAGGGCAGUGACAUAAUAGGCAAAGGCUCCAAUCAGGGAAGCAGGAGGGUCAGCACUUACCCUCUCAAUCCAGGAGCCCCGCCCCCAGCUAGCAGUAGUCUUUCUUGGGUUCCUGAUGCUGCCAUGGGCUCCAGGCUCCUCUGCUGUGUGUCUCUGCUUUUAGCAAGCAAGUGAGUCCUAGACACAGUGUGGGAGCUUCUGAGAUAUUCCCAUGAGAGGAAUGUCUCAAGUAAAAAGAGAACAGUUUUCAUUUGCCCUGACAUCUGCACCUCCCUCCAUGUUCCUCCUACAUCUGAAUUCCUUUGUGCCAAUACAUCACCCUGUGCUGGGCACCCAGCUUCUCUCCACCAAGAGAGGUGGGUCACAGUCUUGAGGGGGCUCUGGUUGCUCUCUCCCCUGCACCAACAUGGAAAGCAGGGCCUCCUGGGAACAUGAAGAAUCUGUACCCACGUUUGGCUGGCGGAUCGACUGUCAGUGACUCGAUUAGAAAUAGACGAAACAGAUUUCUCAAAUGUUGAUGAGCCUGCAAUGAGUUUGGGAGCAGAGACUUGGAGAAACAUGGUAGGUGGAGGGACAAUCUCAGGACUGUGGUCAGUUAUGCAGAAAUGGAACCUUGAAGUCCUACUGGGACACAUGAGUUAAACAGGGCAACAGGAAGCCAGAAGGAUUUCCACAAGAUAUAAACUACAGAUACAUGCAAAUAAAUAGAAGUAAUACACGUAUCAAUGUGAAUUACCUCUGGACUAGAACACACACAAAAUUUAAUCAGUUUUACAGAAGAGUUGCAUCAACUUGUACAGCUUAUGUCCAUUGAUCUGGAUGGGGCUCCGGGUUGUGAACUUAUCUCUGAGGUUCAUUUCUGAUUUGAGCCUCUGGGGGAAGGGGCGUGGCCCCCUGAGUGACAGGUUGGCUUCGGGCCUGGCAGGGACAGUGACAUCUCAGAAAGACUCCCUAGAGAGCGCCUCUCCCCUCUCAUCCACACUCAGACCAGAGGGCCCUCCGCCUGCCCCACCCCCGCCAUGAGCCCCUGCCUCCUGGGCUGUGUGGUCUUCUGUCUCCUGCAGGCAGGGGCGGUCCAUGCUGGGGUCACUCAGGACCCCAGAUUCCAGGUCGUGAGGACAGGACAGAAGGCUACACUGGCAUGUACUCAGGAUCUGGGAUAUGACCGCAUGUACUGGUACCGACAAGACUUGGGACAUGGGCUGAGGCUGAUCCAUUACUCAUUUGCUGCUCCCGACACAGAGAAAGGAGACAUACCUGAGGGUUACAGGGCCUCCAGACCAAGCACAAAGGACUUCCCUCUCACUCUGGAGUCUGCCAACCGCUCCCAGACAUCUGUGUACUUCUGUGCCAGCAGUUACUCCACAGUGCUGCACGGCCACCUCCUUUCUGUUCAAAAAAGCAGAUGAGGGCCCCGCAGCCUCGAACUCAGGGAGCCCCUUGCAGGCUCCUAGC
Molecule: non-coding RNA, 1903 nt
Organism: Bubalus bubalis (water buffalo)
Lineage: Eukaryota; Metazoa; Chordata; Mammalia; Artiodactyla; Bovidae
Source: the annotation of a RefSeq genome assembly